This 252-nucleotide ribosomal RNA is filed under the name uncultured archaeon. RNAcentral describes it as "partial 16S ribosomal RNA". It matches the Rfam family "Archaeal small subunit ribosomal RNA", at positions 748 to 998 of the family's 1478-position model. The record is from RNAcentral.
CAGCCGUAAACUAUGCUCGCUAGGUGUCAGGCAUGGCGCGACCGUGUCUGGUGCCGCAGGGAAGCCGUGAAGCGAGCCACCUGGGAAGUACGGCCGCAAGGCUGAAACUUAAAGGAAUUGGCGGGGGAGCACAACAACGGGUGGAGCCUGCGGUUUAAUUGGACUCAACGCCGGACAACUCACCGGGGACGGACAGCAAUAUGUAGGCCAGGCUGAAGACCUUGCCUGAAUCGCUGAGAGGAGGUGCAUGGC